This 468-nucleotide ribosomal RNA is filed under the name uncultured bacterium. RNAcentral describes it as "partial 16S ribosomal RNA". It matches the Rfam family "Bacterial small subunit ribosomal RNA", at positions 28 to 507 of the family's 1533-position model. The record is from RNAcentral.
GACGAACGCUGGCGGCGUGCUUAACACAUGCAAGUCGAACGGAAAGGCCCUGCUUUUGUGGGGUGCUCGAGUGGCUAACGGGUGAGUAACACGUGAGUAACCUGCCCUUGACUUUGGGAUAACUUCAGGAAACUGGGGCUAAUACCGGAUAGGAGCUCCUGCUGCAUGGUGGGGGUUGGAAAGUUUCGGCGGUUGGGGAUGGACUCGCGGCUUAUCAGCUUGUUGGUGGGGUAAUGGCUUACCAAGGCUUUGACGGGUAGCCGGCCUGAGAGGGUGACCGGCCACAUUGGGACUGAGAUACGGCCCAGACUCCUACGGGAGGCAGCAGUGGGGAAUAUUGCACAAUGGGCGGAAGCCUGAUGCAGCAACGCCGCGUGCGGGAUGACGGCCUUCGGGUUGUAAACCGCUUACGCCUGUGACGAAGCGUGAGUGACGGUAAUGGGUAAAGAAGCACCGGCUAACUACGUG